Long non-coding RNA from Myiozetetes cayanensis, 200 nucleotides. RefSeq lists it as uncharacterized. The record is from RefSeq and is a predicted model, not a curated record. Lineage: Eukaryota; Metazoa; Chordata; Aves; Passeriformes; Tyrannidae. The transcript is spliced from 3 exons.
AUCAGACACUGACCCGGACAUCUGCGAAGAGGAAACUUUGUGCCCACGAGUUCUGCCUGGUUUUGCCAACCAUUUCCUCAGCACCCCCUGGGUCAAGUAGGACUCCAGGGCUUUCUGCCAAGGAAUAUCCUAGAUGUAGUCUCCCGGGCGGCACAGAAGGGACAGGCUCUGCGCUCUGGUGUUUCAUCCCUCCAGUGCCC